AGCCGAAAAGCCCCCCGGGGCGUCGUGCGGGAGAUGGCCUCCCGCCCCUGAUGAGGCAGGCCGGA
Molecule: non-coding RNA, 65 nt
Filed under: Streptomyces sp. SID4920
Lineage: Bacteria; Bacillati; Actinomycetota; Actinomycetes; Kitasatosporales; Streptomycetaceae
Also listed under: 1 other name
Source: RNAcentral